GGCGGGCUCGGUCGGAGCGGGGCUCGGGGCUCCUCGCCGCAGCCCCGUGUGCCCCAGCCGGCAUCGCGGCGGGACGCGGAGCCCGGACCGUGCGGGGGAAAAAAAAAGAACAGAAAAGGGGGCCGGCGCUGGCGUUAUUGCUCUUUCCUCUCCUUAAGCAGGUCAAACGCGAUCGUUCAGAGCUAUUGAUUGCUCUACGGGCUUGUAGUGAUUUGUUAAAAGGCUAAUGGAAUGAGUCAUCGACAGAGUGGAUUAUUUAAAGCACCAUAUCUCAAGAGCAAGAGAUUUACUGCGUGAUGCCUGGCCACACCUUGAGUCCAUGCUCAGGAGAAGCAAAGGUAGGAACCGAAGUGACAAGGUGAUUGUUGAAGG
Molecule: long non-coding RNA, 372 nt
Organism: Harpia harpyja (harpy eagle)
Lineage: Eukaryota; Metazoa; Chordata; Aves; Accipitriformes; Accipitridae
Exons: 3
Source: RefSeq, a predicted model, not a curated record